CCUUUACUUUCUUGGUUAAUAAUACCUUUCAGUAUUGAUGGCAGAAAUACAGUCUGGAUGAACUGGUCAUAAUCAGUUGGCAAAGAGGGAUCUAUAGUAAUUAAUAGUGAAUUUUUCCUUUUCAGGUUCUAAGUCCCCUGAUUUCUGGUCAACAGUUUGUCCACCAUCAGACACUCGGACAAAAUGUACAAACAAGGCAAAACUAUAAUUUACCAAAAAAAAAGAAAAAAAAAGAAUGUGUUCUCUCAUAGUACAGAUUAUGGAGUGAAUUAUUGCAAUGAAUGACUAGUUACGUGGCAUUGAGCAAAUUGCUUAAUCUUUCUCAUCACUUUAACUGUAAAACAAAAGACUAGUAACAUCUCUUUCAAUUAUAAAAU
This 377-nucleotide long non-coding RNA is filed under the name Pan troglodytes (chimpanzee). RNAcentral's name for it is "long non-coding RNA NONPTRT003774". The record is from RNAcentral. Lineage: Eukaryota; Metazoa; Chordata; Mammalia; Primates; Hominidae.